This 253-nucleotide ribosomal RNA is filed under the name uncultured bacterium. Its description in RNAcentral is "partial 16S ribosomal RNA". It matches the Rfam family "Bacterial small subunit ribosomal RNA", at positions 524 to 776 of the family's 1533-position model. The record is from RNAcentral.
UACGUAGGGGGCAAGCGUUGUCCGGAUUUAUUGGGCGUAAAGCGCGCGUAGGCGGCGCGGUAUGUCGUGCGUGAAAUCUCCCGGCUUAACUGGGAGGGGCCGUGCGAAACUGCCGGGCUUGAGGUCGGAAGGGGAAAGUGGAAUUCCGGGUGUAGUGGUGAAAUACGUAGAUAUCCGGAGGAACACCAGCGGCGAAGGCGGCUUUCUGGUCCGAUACUGACGCUGAGGUGCGAAAGCGUGGGGAGCGAUCCGG